AUUGAACGCUGGCGGCAGGCCUAACACAUGCAAGUCGAACGAGUGGCGGACGGGUGAGUAAUGUCUGGGCAACUGCCUGAUGGAGGGGGAUCACUACUGGAAACGGUAGCUAAUACCGCAUACCAUCGGAUGUGCCCAGAUGGGAUUAGCUAGUAGGUGGGGUAAAGGCUCACAUAGGCGACGAUCCCUAGCUGGGCGGAGAGGAUGACCAGCAACACUGGAACGGAGACACGGUCCAGACUCCUACGGGAGGCAGCAGGGGGGAAUAUUGCACAAUGGGCGCAAGCCUGAUGCAGCCAUGCCGCGUGUAGGAAGAAGGCCUUCGGGUUGUAAAGUACUUUCAGCGGGGAGGCGUUACCCGCAGAAGAAGCACCGGCUAACUCCGUGCCAGCAGCCGCGGUAAUUC
RNAcentral lists this ribosomal RNA (406 nucleotides) under uncultured bacterium. Its description in RNAcentral is "partial 16S ribosomal RNA". It matches the Rfam family "Bacterial small subunit ribosomal RNA", at positions 29 to 526 of the family's 1533-position model. The record is from RNAcentral.